Non-coding RNA from Coturnix japonica (Japanese quail), 8107 nucleotides. NCBI's taxonomy places the organism in Eukaryota, Metazoa, Chordata, Aves, Galliformes, Phasianidae. The record is from RefSeq and is a predicted model, not a curated record.
CCUUCUUUAUGUGAGAAAAAUCCUGAAAAGAGCUAAUGGAGGAAAAGAAUAAACAGAGGCUUCUGAUACAAUCUGAAGACAGAAGACUAAAUGCCCCCAAAACCUUGGUAAUCUGCACUCCAGUAUGGUGGUAAAAUGGCAAUGAAGACAACCUAAGGGUUUCUUCUGAUUUAUGUGAACCUAAAUUUCUCUGCUGUUGUGAUGAGGAUAACCGUUAUUCAAAGAGUGGUAUUCACAGGAAAGACUCCUUAGGAGAGGCACUCCACUCUCUGAUCAUCUCUUUGGACCUCCUCUGGACCUGCUCCAAGAUCCCCACAUCUUUCUUAUGCUGGGAGCCUCUGGCCUGGACAUAGCACUACAGAUGGGGCCUCACGAGGACAGAAUAGAGAUGGACAAUCACCUCCUUCACCGUGCUGGCCACCCAUCUUCUGAUCCAGACCAGGACAGCACUGUCCAUCUGAUCUACUGAAGCACAAUAUUGAAUUGUGUCAAAAUUUUAAUCCACCAUAAUCGCAUAAUCUCCAUAGGGGUUCGUCUCCCAGUCUGCACACUGGAUAUCUGGGAUUGCCUCAGCCCAAAGGUAACAUGUUACAGUUGGCCUUGUUGAACCUCAUUAGAUUCAUGUAAUCCCACUUCUCAAGUCUAUCCAGGUCCCUUUGGUCAGCAUCCCUAACUUCUGUGAGUAACAGAGGUAAAAUCUAGACAAGAGGACUGAAAGUAAGCCAAAAUGAUUUACAAAGAAGUGUAUAUUUUCUCUGUGGUCUAGGUGUUAGAAUAUUACCCUUGGAGAAAAAAUCAUUUUUAAAAAGGCCAAAACCAAUUCCAAAGACUACUUUUAUAUUUAAUUCAAUUAAUCCUUGAUGGAAAAUCCAUCAGUGGACAGAUUUUCCUUAGCUACCAAAAGAAGAUUUUGCUCACACACAGGUUUGUUUUUCAUGUCUCAGUUAAAUAUUUUGAUUAUUUCUUUCUUUCAUUGUUUAAAAGCAGAGUGGAACAGUUUCAAGAGAAGAUGAGAAAUCCUUUAUCCUUUAUCAUUAUAUCCUAUAGUUAACAGUGAUUUUAAAAAAUAUAUAUACUUUUUAAUUUAUUAUUAUUAAUAAAUGGAGAUGGAAGAUAUAAGCUCUUCUUCCUUCCUGAGGAAGAGGAAGAAAUUGAACAUAUCUUUCCUAAUCAAUGUUUAGCUUUGAAUUAUUGCACAAAUAGCAGGAAGGAUUUCUUGCUGUGUUAGUUGGAAGGGAUUUGACAAAUGCUCUUGCAUUUUGUACUGAUUAAUGGAGAAUGCUGAAGCACAGACUGAGUAUCUCUGAGAUCCCAAUGUCCUAAGAAUAGCACAAGUCAGUUUGUUAAUUCUGAUGAAGCAAAUCAUAAAGAAAAGGUAAGCUCUGAAGAGACAUUAGUUUGACUGGUUUGUCUAAUACGCAAUCACAUGGAAAUCAUUAAAAGCAAAGUAUUAUGUUAGAUAUGACUGUCAGCUGACUCGAUACAACCAUUCCAAACUCAAGUUCCAAACAAAAAUUUAAAUGUGUAUUAUAAAAGAACUGAAAAGCAACAACAACAAACAAAAAACCAAAUACUUAAACACUACUGUGAUGCUACUAAGUAAUGUUUUAUGAUAUAAAUGCCAUUGGGCCUUUCCGAACACCUCCUUCAUUGUUCUUCAGCCUUUUUAAAUGUAAGUGGAAAGCUCUUUUUUUAGAAACACUGGUGUUGUACUCUCCUACUGUUAGUUGGCAAUGAAACUCAGUGCAGGUUUUCCUUCAAUAAACAUAUCAGAUUAAUACUGCAUCUUCACUGAAGAAGUUGAACUGGUUGCUAUUUUCAAACCAUUAGAAGGUAUCAUGAAACUAUGUUGCUUAUUUUAAAUUUGUACUCCAUAAGACCUUAUUAACUUAAAGAUUCAUACUACGGGUCCAGAAAUGAGGCUGUGUUAGAGAUUCAAUUUUUCUGACCCUAGGAUGCUAAAGAAUGUUAUUAGGUGUUUUUCACAGAUGGAAGUGAGUACAUGGCUGGGACAUCAAAGAUGAACCACAAUAAAUAUAAACCACAUGUGCAACCAUUUGUUUGUAUGUCAGUGGUUAUAUAAGUUAUUGGCAUGCUUCAGCCAUGCUGGUUAAGUAGGCCUUCCAUGUCAUGGCUGAACAGACCUGGAUUUUCUACUUCAGUAAUGCCCAUGUACAAAAGUAGUGCCCUUAAAACCAGUUAUACAAGUUAAUAACAAUAAGAUGAUUCAUGCACCAGAAAGCUAGUAAUUGUACAAUACAUGAGACAUCAGGUAGAUCCAGAUACAUGAAAGUAAAAACACAGAAAAGACAGGAAAGAAGGGGGAUAGACUCUUUAGCAUGGUCUGUGGUAACAGAAAAAGUAGCAAUGGCAUCAGGCUCAAACAGGGUAGAGAUAGGUUGGACAUAAGGAAAAAGUCUUUUACAAUGAGGGUGGUGAGGCACUGGAACAGUAUGCCCAGAGAUGUGGUUGAUGCCCUGUCCAUGGAGACUUUCAAGGUGAAGCUGGAUCAAGCCCUGUGCAACCUGAUCUAGCUGUGAGUCUGCCAAUUGCAGGGCAAUUAGACUAGAUGGCCUUUAAAGGUCCCUUCCAAUCUAAGGAUUCUAUUUUGAUGAUUCUGAGAAUCUGAAUUUGAGAGUCUGAAUAACACUAGAGAAGGCUAAAUAAAUUAACACCUAAUCUCUUAUUUAGUAAAUUAACUAUAAAGAAAUUUAUUUUUAUAGUGAUUAAAAGACAUUGUAAUAAAAACUAUUGUAUAGUGUUUGGAUAUAUUAGUGAGAUAAUGUUGAAGAAUUUUUCAUACACUUAUCAAAAGAUGAGUUCUUCAGAAUGAAGACUGUUCACUGAACAUAAUUCUAUGGAGACAAAAAGAAAAAAAAAAGUAAUUUCUGAGGAUAGAUGUUGAAUGAUGAAAUAUGUAACUUAAAUAAUAGCAGAUAAGAUGUCAUCAUGCUGGCUGAUGUAGUUGCUCUGUAGGCACUGCUACUGCCCAGGGGAUCCAAGCUGUCUCUGAGAUGAUAGCCUGCAUGUGAUCAUACACCUGUAGUAUCAGAAAAUUCCCUAAUGAGUCUUUAUUGGAAGCAAAACAUAGGUACAGGGGAAGAUGGUCGUUCACUUUCUCAUUCUCCUAUUUUGAAAUCAUCAGAUUCUGUAAAUCUGUUAAAGUUUUUAAAACCUUAUAUUUUCUAGAAAUGAAAUAUUAGCUAGUUCUGCUCCAUAUUUUGUUGUUGUUGUUGUUUUGUUGUUCUAACUGUCAGUGAGUUCAAAGACCUUCUUGAAAAUAGACAUAGAUUCAGUAUUCACUUUUAAUCUACUGACUUCUCAGAUUCUCAUAAACUUCUCCAGGCAGAAAGUACAGUAAUGCUCACUUCAUUUCUAACAAACAAUUUCCUCUUGUAAAUAACAAUUAUCAAUAGCAAUAGAAUAUCUGAACUCCUGGAAUAUUCUAUAUAUCCUCCUGCUGUUGCUUCAGAUGGCUGAUGACUGGUUUUAGUUUUUUGGUUGUUUGUGUGUGUUGUUUUUGUUUGGUUUUUUUUUGUUUGUUUGUUUGUUUAAAGUCAAAUAUGAACAAUAUAGAAUGAGGUAAAUACAGCAUCAAUUAAAACAAUAUUGCAUAGCUAUAUAUUUGCAUGUUGUUGUUUAAAUCUAUUGUAUUCAGAGUUCAUAACAAAUGGUCUGCUGAGUGCUCCCCAGUUGAUUAUGAAGUUAUAAAGGCAUUCCCUAUGGCUGCAUAAUUUCCUUCAAACCUCUUAAUGAAUGGUAUACAUCUCCAGUUUAAUCUAAACAAGAGCUCUUCAAAAGCAACAUAUAAAAUACCUAGCUCUCUGUGUGUUGAAAUAAUAGAUAAGGUGAAUCUAAAUGUUUUGGUAAAGAUUUCUGAGUUCACAGACAGAAACAGUUUCCCCAUAAAAUCAGUCAUCUGCAACUAUUGCACUAAAUAAAAUAUAAGAAAAAUAAAUUAAUUCUUCAAAAGAUAAGACUUUUCUGCUGAGUACUCAACAAGUAUAAGACAUAUCAAUAGUAGUCAAACCACUUUGAAUUUCCUUUUUCUAUCAGGAUUUGCUUUUGGAAUGUUUGGAACUUCCAGGCAAAUAUACUGACUGCAUCUAUUCCAUCCUGACUUUGCAUUUGGGUGUCUAGAUGACAGGUAUACUUUAAAAAGAGCUCUGGAUAAACAAUCCAAACCUUUAAUCGCUGUUGCAGGUGAGCUCCCAUUGCAAGCCUGCAUUGAGCUAUGCCUCCUGACUCAAAUCUAUCCUCCUCCCCCAAGAAAACACACACAAAGAAAGCAAUUCUGAGAUAUGCUUAUCUCAGUGUGUAGAUAUAUUAGCAACACAGAAAUGUUACUAAUGUCUACUUUAAAAUAAAAGAUGAUAAUGUUCCCUAAGUAAAAAUAACGCUUGAUGCAGCUGCUUAGAACUACAUUUUGCAAUGUAUUUGACCCACUGAUUUCAAAAGUAUAUUAUACAUUUAUCCUGCUGCUGAAAUUUUUCACUGUUGGAAACUAUAGAUGGCCUAAAUGACCAAAGUUGAUAGUGAAAAGAGGAGCUAAUUAAACCUAGCAAUUCCCAUCCAAAUUGCUUGCUGUACCAGUGUAGGUGUGAAGACCAGUUUUUUAACAAUCUGUUUUUCAGGACUAAUUCAAAGAUUCAGCACCAACAUAAAAAUAAUCUUUGGUGUUAACUGUCUUUGACAAAAUUUUCUUUGUUAACAAUUAUUUCUCAAACUUGAUACUGAAAAGACUCACUGAGGUAUAAAUAUACAUUUACAUUUUGUACAAAUGCUUAUGGCAGUUCUGAAGUGAUGAUAGUCAAUGUUGUUUAUAGUUUUUCUGUAAAAGAAGCAUAAAAAUAUCUAGUUCCAAUACUAGUUCCAAUCAUAAACCAACAGGACUACAGAUGGUUAACUGAACACUCUUUUCACACAGAUAUCUGAAGAAAAGUAUUCAUAGAAAAGCCCUUAAAGCAAAUAUUCAGAGCGUAGAAAUGACAUAAUGAUGAGUAGACCCAGGAAGUAACCUAGAAAAUGUUCAAUUGAAGGAGGUAAGGAAGGGAUUGGGACACUUGAGUUGUUUUGAAUUAUCUUAACUAAAGCUAUUCUAGGGAAAAUAUUUAAAGCUAACAACAUUUCUCUCUUUUCAUUCAUCUCUAUGCUGUGGACUCCAAAAACUAUUUUUGGCUUAUGUAAGAACACAAGCCACCAAAGUCCUCAGCCUCUUAGGUCUCUGAGUCUGUGGUUGGCAUCGAGAAUUGCAUCAUUUACUUUUCUAUAAUUAGAAAUUUAUGUGCUUUUACAGAUUAAAAUUACUAAAUCCAGGUCUGCGUGCUACAAAGCAUAGUCAUAAAGCACUGUUAGGUAGGACUGAAAAUCUUGUGAAAGCCAACAUUUAAGCAGUGAAUUAUUGUUUUGUGGAAAUCUCACUGUAGAUGUAUGUCUAGCUCAGAUUGCCUUUGUUCUUUUGUUCAUUGUUACAUUCUAUGAAAAAUAAAUAAAUAAAUAAAUAAAAAUAGUUCCACAAGAAGCUAAGCUUGAUAGCACCUAAGAAAUGUAAAUUUAACGUCUCUUUAUCUGAUGAGUAGACAUCUCACUAUAAAGACUGUAACCUACAUAUUCCAUUUCAGUAUUUUGUUGUUGUUGUUGUUUUGCGCGCGCGUGUGUGUGUGUGUGUGUUAAGAGAAAACCACACUUUCUGAAAAAAAAAUCUCAGUGUUAUUUCCAAUAUAUCACAUGAAAUAAGUUGUUCUUCCAGCACAGUGCUGAAUGGAUUCUGACUCGAGUGGAGUGUUAAGUUAGACUGGAAAACAAAUAUACUCUAUAGCUAGAGCUUCAUAAGCAAAAAGCCUUUUUUAAAAUUAUUAUUAUAUAUAUAUAUUUUUUUUUCAGAGCAUUUCAGCUUCCUAAAUGCUGAUAGAAUGUGUGUGUCUUCAAGAUUAGUACAGGCAGGAUGAUGCAGACAUGGACUAAUAUACAGGAUUUAAGAACUGUAUCAUUGAGGAAAACAAACAAAAAAACAAAAAACAACCCAAUAAGAAUCUGAUAUUAAAUAAAUCAGGGACCAUCAAUCUAGAAUGGUUUUUCUUAGAUCAGUGUUGAUUUUCAGUCUGGCUGGCUGAACAUUGGACAGGAAGCUAACUGACAGGAGCAGCACAGUUUUGCUACAUGAAAAGUCACGUCUGCACUUAGAUCCCAGAGACAAUGUCUGCACAGAUCUGUGUGGGUAGGGCUGGAAGAAGUACAAACCUAUGUGGUCUGAACAGCCUGCAACAUGUGUGUAAUGUAGUUUUUGUCAGUGAAACAUUGGCAAAGGGCCAAGUCGAAAGUCUUUUCUAGCGGACUUGAGAAUCACAGAACAGAGUUGGAAGGGACUUCUGCAUCUGUCUCGUCUAAGCACUCCAUUCAAGGAGGGACACUCAGAGCAGAGUGCUUAGGCCCAUGCCCCACAACUUUUGAAGAUCUCCUGUCCUGGUUUCAGCUGGAACUGAAUUGAUUUUUCCUUCACAGUAUAUGUUGUGAUAUUUUGUCUUCAGGAGAAAAGGCAGUGUUGAUAGCAUACCAAUGUUUUAGCUGUUGCUCUACAGAGCCAAGAAUGUUUCAAUCUCUCAGCUUCUUACACUGUCCUGGCAGAAAAGGGACUGGCACAAGGAGUUGGAAGAGAACAGAACCAGGGCAGCUAAUCUAACUAGGCCAAAGGGAUAAUCCAUAACAUAUGGCAUAAUGUAAAAUGACUAUAAGUCUGAGGUCAAUUGUCCAGAGGGCUGCUGCUGUUUGGGGAAUGUCUGGGCAUUGGUCAAUGGGUGGUGAGUAACUGACUUGCGCAUAUACUUUUUUUCAUUGCUAUUAUUUCUCUUUCUUUCCUGUUUUAGUAAAUAAUUUUAAUCUCAAUUUGUGAGUUCUAAUUCUUGUCUUUUUUUAAUUUUUUUUAUUCUCUCCCCCUGGGGAGAGAGUGAAAGGCUAAGCAGUGCUUAGCUGCCUUCUAAGUUAUACCACAUCUCCAAGAAGGAGCCUGCACAACAUGUGCCAGUGCUCCAUUACAUUUGCAGAAAAGUGUUUCCUCGUGUUGAGAUGGAGCUUGUGAGCUUUCUCACUUCUUGCAGAUUAAAGCAGUUUCCCCAGUUCUAGACUCAUCUCAGUGAGAUGCUGUAUCCAUUGCCUUCAGAUUGAAAAAAUACAUUUCAAUCUCACUGUAAAAAAAUAAGCAAAAGGUGAUGCUGAGGCAGCUGUGAAAACCACAAAAACAAAAAUGCAACGUUUAGAUGAGUGGUCCUCUUAACCCAGUGUCUUAUUUCCGACACUGCCUAACAGCAGAGAAUUGGGGAAAAUUAUAGGUAAAAGACAAUCAUGUAAUGAUGCUUCCCCAGGAUAACCUUUACACUUCUAGCAUUUUUGGUUUAGUGAUUCUGUCAAAAAUUCAUUGCUGCCCUGAGUCCUGGAAAGUAGCUUUUCCGUAGCUUUUCAUGACACCAAACUGUACACCAAAAUUAUUUCACUCGUAUCUAUUUCUUGCCUUCACCUUAGUUCAUUAGAUGACAAGGGUAUUCAAAUCAAAUCUGUGUAGAUUACCUUAAUAGAUGUAAUAAUAUCUGUCAGAGAAUAUAAAAAGUUCCCAUUCUGUAAGCAUCCUCCCAGUUUCUGUUCUGUUUUAGAAAACAAGAGCCAUUUUAUGCAGUUUUCCCACUGAUGGCAACACGGUUCCUCAUUUGUUCUAGAAGACAAGUCCUUAAGGACUUUUCAUAAUGUUUAUCAGGAUUGUAAUACUUACUUUCUGUUGUGUUUUGAACAUCCCUUAAGCUGUUGUAAUUCCUCGACUGAAGAGAGUCAAGGAUGCACUGUGCUCAUAGUUUAAACCUUUGAGGUACUUGUAACAUAUUGUGGGAAGAACUAAUCUUAUUCAGCACAUGAAUCCUGCAAAUAUUUUGUAAUAAAAGAAUUUUAGCAUUCAUGCACCUGCUUUAUCAAACUUAAUGUAAGCAGAUUUUUGGUUUUUGUUAUUAUUUGCAAUGUAAUAGGGUGCAUUAGCGGAGUCUGUAGAACUAUUAAUUCUGUGGAGCCUGUAAAACUAUUAAUUCUGUUAUACAGUAAAACUGCGUAUUUAUGUGACUAGUGAAGU